AGAAACGUAAUGAAGAGAAAAGUAUAGAUCUUAAAACAUUAAAGAGAGUCCGUAAUAGGUGAGAGCGGAUAUGUAGAAGGGUUUAGAAAAUGGUCUCUGAACGGGAUUGUCGAUAGGUAGACAAUGACGGGGCAGCGCUCGUUAACAACGCUCAAGUAUAUUUAGUACUUGUAAAGGCAAUAGUUGUGAGAUUAUUGUAAAUAAAGGUGGUAACGCGAGUAAGCUCGUCCUUUUC
RNAcentral lists this non-coding RNA (235 nucleotides) under Enterococcus hermanniensis. Its description in RNAcentral is "T-box sequence". It matches the Rfam family "T-box leader". Rfam says of the family: Uncharged tRNA acts as the effector for transcription antitermination of genes in the T-box leader family. T-boxes are found upstream of many aminoacyl-tRNA synthetase genes and some amino acid biosynthetic genes usually in Gram-positive bacteria. The anticodon of a specific tRNA base pairs to a specifier sequence within the T-box motif, and the NCCA acceptor tail of the tRNA base pairs to a conserved bulge in the T-box antiterminator hairpin. Lineage: Bacteria; Bacillati; Bacillota; Bacilli; Lactobacillales; Enterococcaceae. The record is from RNAcentral.